CAGUAGCCGCGGGAAUACAGAGGGUGCGAGCGUUAAUCGGAUUUACUGGGCGUAAAGCGUGCGUAGGCGGCUUCUCAAGUCGGAUGUGAAAUCCCUGAGCUUAACUUAGGAAUUGCAUUCGAUACUGGGAAGCUAGAGUAUGGGAGAGGAUGGUAGAAUUCCAGGUGUAGCGGUGAAAUGCGUAGAGAUCUGGAGGAAUACCGAUGGCGAAGGCAGCCAUCUGGCCUAAUACUGACGCUGAGGUACGAAAGCAUGGGGAGCAAACAGGAUUAGAUACCCCAGUAGUCCCUGUCUCUUAUAC
RNAcentral lists this ribosomal RNA (301 nucleotides) under uncultured bacterium. RNAcentral describes it as "partial 16S ribosomal RNA". It matches the Rfam family "Bacterial small subunit ribosomal RNA", at positions 509 to 807 of the family's 1533-position model. The record is from RNAcentral.